UGAGGAAUAUUGGGCAAUGCCCGCAAGGGUGACCCAGCAACGCCGCGUGGAGGAUGAAUGUCGUAAGAUUGUAAACUCCUGUUAGAGGGGAAGAAUAGUACCGGUUGGACCGGUAUAUGACUGUACCCUCAGAGAAAGCCCCGGCUAACUACGUGCCAGCAGCCGCGGUAAUACGUAGGGGGCAAGCGUUGUCCGGAUUUACUGGGUGUAAAGGGCGCGCAGGCGGGAUAAAAAGUCAGUGGUGAAAUCCUACAGCUUAACUGUAGAACUGCCUUUGAUACUUUUAUUCUUGAGUUCGGGAGAGAGAGACGGAAUUCCAGGUGUAGUGGUGAAAUACGUAGAUAUCUGGAAGAACACCAGUUGCGAAGGCGGUCUCUUGGUCCGACACUGACGCUGAGGCGCGAAAGCGUGGGGGGCAAACA
Molecule: ribosomal RNA, 422 nt
Filed under: uncultured bacterium
Lineage: Bacteria
Description: bacterial SSU rRNA
Rfam family: Bacterial small subunit ribosomal RNA
Source: RNAcentral